UUUUUUUUUAAUUCUCUUUGCUCUGAGACAUUUUUGAAACCAAAAGCAGCUGAAAAACUGGUAGUGUUUGCAGAUUAUUUUAAAGAAUAAAUAAAAAGAGGUAAGCCGUCUUUAGCAAUGUUAUCUAUGUUUAUGGCACAUAUUUAAAUUUUCUCAGGCAGAAACUGUAGAAGUUAGAAAAGAUAGGUGUUUUUAUUCUCAUUGACAGGUAAGAAUUGAGGUCCAGAGAUGCUACAGGAUUUGACUAAGAUGACUGAAGAAAGUUCAGCAAUAAAAUCUGCACUGAGACCAAGGUUCCCUGCCUCCUAGCUCUGUUUAUCCAGGCUAUCUACUUAAGUCUUUCCAGACUUACUGAAAUCAACUUUAUGUCAUAACAAUAUAUACCUGGAAAACAUAGGGACCGCUCCUCUCAAUUUGUAUAAUGCCCACACUUAGUCCAUAAUCUGGAAACUAAGAAAUCUAGAGGCACAAUUUUAGAAGAGAAAAAAAUUCUAUCCCCUUAGGAAGUAUUUUUACACUGAAAAAAACUAACCUAAUAUUUUAGGAAAAUGUAAAUAGAUUCCUGAAAUUCCACUGCCAAAAAUUUAAUGAGGCUUACAGUUUUAUGGACAAAUUUACGUUAAAAACUGUGAUCUGAAAAUCAAACAAAGGAGUAGGGUGUAAAAGAAAACCAUGCCACUAGAAUCAUUAGAUUUUCUCUUUUCAUAAACAAAAUAAUGCUUAAGCGAAAGCUUAUCAUUUUAUUCAGAGGAAGUCAGAAAAGGGGCAUUAAAACAGUUGGACAACUAGAAACAUAAAGUGAGAUGGUAGAAGAUAACAGCAAUAUAGACAUCACAAUAAAUGUAAAUAGCUUAAACAGUCAUACAUGUAUAUGUGUGUACAUAUAUAUAAUUUUUGUAUAUAUGUAUAUAUAAUUUAUAUAUCUUUGAUGGAACUACAAUAAGAAAAUGACAGUUCCACCAUCACGGCGGGAGUUUUUAAUACACACUAAAGUGUCAGUUAGGAAUUAACAGGUAAAGAAAUCAAGACAUUAAAGAUUCUGGAUAUUAGUCCUUUGUCAGAUGAGUAGGUUGCGAAAAUUUUCUCCCAUUUUGUAGGUUGCCUGUUCACUCUGAUGGUAGUUUCUUUUGCUGUGCAGAAGCUCUUUAGUUUAAUUAGAUUCCAUUUGUCAAUUUUGGCUUUUGUUGCCAUUGCUUUUGGUGUUUUAGACAUGAAGUCCUUGCCCAUGCCUAUGUCCUGAAUGGUAAUGCCUAGGUUUUCUU
This 1262-nucleotide long non-coding RNA is filed under the name Homo sapiens (human). RNAcentral describes it as "non-protein coding lnc-KCNS3-10:1". Lineage: Eukaryota; Metazoa; Chordata; Mammalia; Primates; Hominidae. The record is from RNAcentral.